This 69-nucleotide transfer RNA is filed under the name Eviota ocellifer (ocellated dwarfgoby). RNAcentral's name for it is "tRNA-Phe". It matches the Rfam family "tRNA". Rfam says of the family: Transfer RNA (tRNA) molecules are approximately 80 nucleotides in length. Their secondary structure includes four short double-helical elements and three loops (D, anti-codon, and T loops). Lineage: Eukaryota; Metazoa; Chordata; Actinopteri; Gobiiformes; Gobiidae. The record is from RNAcentral.
GUAAACGUAGCUUAAUUUAAAGUAUAACACUGAAGAUGUUAGGAUAGGCCCUAGAAAGCCUCGUGAACA